This 1404-nucleotide ribosomal RNA is filed under the name uncultured bacterium. Its description in RNAcentral is "bacterial SSU rRNA". It matches the Rfam family "Bacterial small subunit ribosomal RNA". The record is from RNAcentral.
AGAGUUUGAUCCUGGCUCAGGAUGAACGCUAGCGGCAGGCUUAACACAUGCAAGUCGAGGGGCAGCGGGGAGGAAGCUUGCUUUCUCCGCCGGCGACCGGCGCACGGGUGAGUAACACGUAUGCAACCUGCCCCUGUCAGGGGGACAACCCGCCGAAAGGCGGGCUAAACCCGCGUACAUGCCACCGGGGCAUCCCGGAGGCAGGAAAGGCUUCGGCCGGACAGGGAUGGGCAUGCGGCGCAUUAGGCAGUAGGCGGGGUAACGGCCCACCUAACCGACGAUGCGUAGGGGUUCUGAGAGGAAGGUCCCCCACACUGGUACUGAGACACGGACCAGACUCCUACGGGAGGCAGCAGUGAGGAAUAUUGGUCAAUGGUCGGGAGACUGAACCAGCCAAGCCGCGUGAGGGAGGAAGGUACAGAGUAUCGUAAACCUCUUUUGUCAGGGAACAAAGGCGGGGACGUGUCCCCGGAUGAGUGUACCUGAAGAAAAAGCAUCGGCUAACUCCGUGCCAGCAGCCGCGGUAAUACGGAGGAUGCGAGCGUUAUCCGGAUUUAUUGGGUUUAAAGGGUGCGCAGGCGGUCUGUUAAGUCAGCGGUCAAAGCCCGGGGCUCAACCCCGGCCCGCCGUUGAAACUGGCAGUCUCGAGUUGGAGAGAAGUAUGCGGAAUGCGCGGUGUAGCGGUGAAAUGCAUAGAUAUCGCGCAGAACUCCGAUUGCGAAGGCAGCAUGCCGGCUCCACACUGACGCUGAGGCACGAAAGCGUGGGUAUCGAACAGGAUUAGAUACCCUGGUAGUCCACGCAGUAAACGAUGAAUGCUGGCUGUCCGGGGGGACUGACCCCUGGGUGGCGAAGCGAAAGCGAUAAGCAUUCCACCUGGGGAGUACGCCGGCAACGGUGAAACUCAAAGGAAUUGACGGGGGCCCGCACAAGCGGAGGAACAUGUGGUUUAAUUCGAUGAUACGCGAGGAACCUUACCCGGGCUCAAACGGGGAGUGGCGCAGGCAGAGACGCCUGUUUCCCACGGGACACUCCCCGAGGUGCUGCAUGGUUGUCGUCAGCUCGUGCCGUGAGGUGUCGGCUUAAGUGCCAUAACGAGCGCAACCCCCGCGUGCAGUUGCUAACAGAUAACGCUGAGGACUCUGCACGGACUGCCGGCGCAAGCCGCGAGGAAGGCGGGGAUGACGUCAAAUCAGCACGGCCCUUACGUCCGGGGCGACACACGUGUUACAAUGGGUGGUACAGCGGGAAGCCAGGCGGCGACGCCGAGCGGAACCCGAAAUCCACUCUCAGUUCGGAUCGGAGUCCGCAACCCGACUCCGUGAAGCUGGAUUCGCUAGUAAUCGCGCAUCAGCCAUGGCGCGGUGAAUACGUUCCCGGGCCUUGCACACACCGCCCGUCAAG